Callithrix jacchus (white-tufted-ear marmoset) is the source of this 2178-nucleotide long non-coding RNA. The record is from Ensembl. Lineage: Eukaryota; Metazoa; Chordata; Mammalia; Primates; Cebidae.
AUGGCACUUCCGUGUACUCGGCACGUCUGUGUACACGGCACUUCCGUGUACUCGGCACGUCUGUGUACUCGGCACUUCCGUGUACAUGGCACUUCCGUGUACUCGGCACGUCUGUGUACUCGGCACGUCUGUGUACUCGGCACUUCCGUGUACUCGGCACGUCUGUGUACUCGGCACGUCUGUGUACUCGGCACGUCUGUGUACUCGGCACGUCUGUGUACACGGCACUUCCGUGUACUCGGCACGUCUGUGUACUCGGCACUUCCGUGUACAUGGCACUUCCGUGUACUCGGCACGUCUGUGUACUCGGCACGUCUGUGUACUCGGCACGUCUGUGUACUCGGCACGUCUGUGUACACGGCACUUCCGUGUACUCGGCACGUCUGUGUACUCGGCACUUCUGUGUACAUGGCACUUCCGUGUACUCGGCACGUCUGUGUACUCGGCACGUCUGUGUACUCGGCACUUCCGUGUACUCGGCACGUCUGUGUACUCGGCACGUCUGUGUACUCGGCACGUCUGUGUACUCGGCACUUCCGUGUACUCGGCACGUCUGUGUACUCGGCACGUCUGUGUACUCGGCACGUCUGUGUACACGGCACUUCCGUGUACUCGGCACGUCUGUGGACUCGGCACUUCCGUGUACAUGGCACUUCCGUGUACUCGGCACGUCUGUGUACUCGGCACGUCUGUGUACUCGGCACGUCCGUGUACUCGGCACGUCCGUGUACACGGCGCUUCCGUGUACUCGGCACGUCUGUGUACUCGGCACGUCUGUGUACUCGGCACGUCUGUGUACUCGGCACGUCUGUGUACACGGCGCUUCCGUGUACUCGGCACGUCUGUGUACUCGGCGCUUCCGUGUACUCGGCACGUCUGUGUACUCGGCACGUCUGUGUACUCGGCACGUCUGUGUACUCGGCACGUCUGUGUACUCGGCACGUCUGUGUACUCGGCACUUCUGUGUACUCGGCACGUCUGUGUACUCGGCACUUCCGUGUACAUGGCACUUCCGUGUACUCGGCACGUCUGUGUACUCGGCACGUCUGUGUACUCGGCACGUCUGUGUACUCGGCACGUCUGUGUACACGGCGCUUCCGUGUACUCGGCACGUCUGUGUACUCGGCGCUUCUGUGUACUCGGCACGUCUGUGUACUCGGCACGUCUGUGUACUCGGCGCUUCUGUGUACACGGCACGUCUGUGUACUCGGCACGUCUGUGUACACUGCACUUCCGUGUACUCGGCACGUCUGUGUACUCGGCACUUCUGUGUACUCGGCACGUCUGUGUACUCGGCACUUCUGUGUACUCGGCACGUCUGUGUACUCGGCACGUCUGUGUACACGGCACUUCUGUGUACUCGGCACUUCUGUGUACUCGGCACUUCUGUGUACUCGGCACGUCUGUGUACUCGGCACGUCUGUGUACACGGCACUUCUGUGUACUCGGCACGUCUGUGUACUCGGCACUUCUGUGUACACGGCACGUCUGUGUACACUGCACUUCCGUGUACUCGGCACGUCUGUGUACUCGGCACUUCUGUGUACACGGCACGUCUGUGUACUCGUCACGUCCGUGUACUCGGCACGUCUGUGUACUCGGCACUUCUGUGUACUCGGCACUUCUGUGUACACGGCACGUCUGUGUACACUGCACUUCCGUGUACUCGGCACGUCUGUGUACUCGGCACUUCUGUGUACACGGCACGUCUGUGUACUCGGCACGUCCGUGUACUCGGCACUUCCGUGUACUCGGCACGUCUGUGUACUCGACACGUCUGUGUACUCGACACGUCUGUGUACUCGACACGUCUGUGUACUCGGCACGUCUGUGUACACGGCACUUCUGUGUACUCGGCACUUCUGUGUACUCGACACGUCUGUGUACUCGGCACGUCUGUGUACACGGCACUUCUGUGUACUCGGCACGUCCGUGUACACGGCACGUCUGUGUACACGGCACUUCCGUGUACACGGCACGUCUGUGUACACGGCACUUCCGUGUACUCGGCACGUCUGUGUACACGGCACGUCUGUGUACUGUGUACUCGGCACUUCCGUGUACACGGCACUUCUAUGUACACGGCACGUCUGUGUACUCGGCACUGUUCUGAAGGAUUUACAUGUACGAAGUAGCUGUAGCCUCAUAACAACCCUACUGGGGAGGUACAGUCAUUGA